Molecule: long non-coding RNA, 335 nt
Filed under: Hordeum vulgare
Lineage: Eukaryota; Viridiplantae; Streptophyta; Magnoliopsida; Poales; Poaceae
Description: long non-coding RNA (HVUL_LNC006526)
Source: RNAcentral
GCCAAUCAAUCAUUUUCCCACAAAUAGUGAGAAGUACCGAAGCACAGGAAAAUGUAUGCUAGCAAUUCUAGCACGAGACACUCCUCUCUCCUCUCCAACAGCAAUAGAACCAAUGAAAUCCUCCAAGUCCCAUGGACGAGGGUCACGGAUAUCCCCAACAUAAGGUAAUUUGCAUACAUUGCAAAAAUCCUGUAGCGUCAUGCACUGGGAAACAUCGUAUAUCAUGAACUCAACCAUGGGAGGAUUCUUCCUCGGAUAAAAGUUGAAGCUUUGAACAAAAAUAUUGGUGAGGAGGAGAUAUUGUGGGCACUUAUCUUCAACGAACGCAGUAAGAC